Molecule: ribosomal RNA, 428 nt
Filed under: uncultured bacterium
Lineage: Bacteria
Description: bacterial SSU rRNA
Rfam family: Bacterial small subunit ribosomal RNA
Source: RNAcentral
GCAGAACGCGAAGAACCUUACCAGGGCUUAAAUGCAGUCCGACAGGAUUGGAAACAGUCCUUUCUUCGGACGGAUUGCAAGGUGCUGCAUGGCUGUCGUCAGCUCGUGCCGUGAGGUGUCAGGUUAAGUCCUACAACGAGCGCAACCCCUGCCGUUAGUUGCCAGCGAGUAAAGUCGGGAACUCUAGCGGGACUGCCGGUGCAAACCGUGAGGAAGGUGGGGAUGACGUCAAAUCAUCACGGCCCUUACGUCCUGGGCCACACACGUGCUACAAUGGCAGGUACAAUGGGCAGCCACUGCGCAAGCAGGCGCGAAUCCACAAAACCUGUCUCAGUUCGGAUCGGGGUCUGCAACUCGACCCCGUGAAGCUGGAAUCGCUAGUAAUCGGAUAUCAGCCAUGAUCCGGUGAAUACGUUCUCGGGUCUUNU